RNAcentral lists this ribosomal RNA (468 nucleotides) under uncultured bacterium. Its description in RNAcentral is "partial 16S ribosomal RNA". It matches the Rfam family "Bacterial small subunit ribosomal RNA", at positions 28 to 507 of the family's 1533-position model. The record is from RNAcentral.
GACGAACGCUGGCGGCGUGCUUAACACAUGCAAGUCGAACGGAAGGGCCCUGCUUUUGUGGGGUGCUCGAGUGGCGAACGGGUGAGUAACACGUGAGUAACCUGCCCUUGACUUUGGGAUAACUUCAGGAAACUGGGGCUAAUACCGGAUAGGAGCUCCUGCUGCAUGGGGGGGGUUGGAAAGUUUCGGCGGUUGGGGAUGGACUCGCGGCUUAUCAGCUUGUUGGUGGGGUAGUGGCUUACCAAGGGUUUGACGGGUAGCCGGCCUGAGAGGGUGAACGGCCACAUUGGGACUGAGAUACGGCGCAGACGCCUACGGGAGGCAGCAGUGGGGAAUAUUGCACAAUGGGCGGAAGCCUGAUGCAGCAACGCCGCGUGCGGGAUGACGGCCUUCGGGUUGUAAACCGCUUUCGCAUGUGACGAAGCGUGAGUGACGGUAAUGGGUAAAGAAGCACCGGCUAACUACGUG